RNAcentral lists this unclassified non-coding RNA (458 nucleotides) under Hevea brasiliensis (rubber tree). The record is from RNAcentral. Lineage: Eukaryota; Viridiplantae; Streptophyta; Magnoliopsida; Malpighiales; Euphorbiaceae.
UUGCUUCCAUUGAAAACCUUACCAAUCUAAAAUUAAGAGAUUCUAAUCUCUUGGAGAAUACAUCUUCAGUUCUUCAGUUUCUUCCCAAAUUAAAACAUCUCAUUUUAGAUGAAGCAUAGAAGGCAAAGAUCAUUGGUAAUUGCGAGGCAGGUGGAUAUCCGCAACUAGAAACAUUGACAAUUUCUUCAGAGGAUCUGGUGGAGUGGACUGAGAUUGUAAAUGGGGCUUUUCCAAGUUUGAGGAUGCUUGCGUUAUCAUCUUGUCAAAAUUUGAGGUUUCUUCCUGAAGGUUUGCAACACAUCUCUACUAUUCAAAAGCCUUUUUUAGGGCAUUUCCACGGGGACCUAGCAAGAAGAUUGAGAGGCAAAGAAAAUUAUAAGAUCAAGCAUAUUUCAAAUUUGAUUAUCACUGAAUAAAAGUAGCUAUUAUUUGAUUCUCAAAUGCCUCCUAUCACUACA